AAAAAAAAAAAAAAAAAAAAAAAUACAUUAUUUCCAUUUUUAUCAAAAAAUUAUGAUCAAUUUAGUAUUACUAAGAGUAAACGUUUUACAAAUUUUAAGAGUGAAUAAAAAGCUGAGUUUGAAUGCUUUCAUUUCUAAUAGUUAUUGUAGUAGCAUAUUUGAUUUAAUAGCUAAAAGAAAAAACGAAUUAGAAAACGAAGAAGAUAAAAAAAAGCAAAAGACAAAAAAAAGAAGUAAUUUAAAUGUAAAAAUAUAUCAAAAUGAAAACAAUAUUAAGGAUAAUAAUAAUGAUUAUUUAAAUUUUAAUAAUAAAAAAAGGUUAGAAAAGGUGAAUAAAAAAAUAAAAUCUAAAUCUCCAAAUUAUGAAAAUGAUAAUAGUAAGACUAAAACAGGAUUAGAGUAUAUUGGUGAAGAACCUUUUGAUAAAUAUACAACGAAUUUUACUAAUUUUGUAGAAGAUGAUAUAUAUAACAAUAAAAUAUACUUACUAAGAUAUAUAAAACAAUUGAACAUAAAGGAUGAUAUAAAUAAAUAUAGAUUUAGUACGAAAUAUAUAAUUAAUAAUAUAACAACGUUUAAAUAUAAUGAAUUAUUAUUUAUAUUAAAAGUGUUUUCUAAAAGAAGAUAUAAAAAUUUGUUGUUUUUACAAUGUACAAGUGAAUAUUUUUAUUGGUUAUGCAAACUAAAUAAAGGUUCAAAACAAAAUAUUUCUUAUUACUUAUACUUUUGUAGUAUCUUAAAUUAUAUACCUACAAUAAAGUAUGUACAAGAAUAUUUAAAACUAUUUGAAUAUGAUGAACAUACAUUGUUAAAAAGUGAAGGUGCAUUUCUGACCAAUGCUUCUGUUUCGACUUAUGCUCCUUCUUUUUCUCCUUCUCUUUUGACCAAUAUGCUUAAAGAUGAAUGUAAUAUAUAUCAUAAAAAUGUAAAAUAUUUAAUUUAUGUUUUAAAUUUUUUACAUAAAGCAAAUAUAAGAAAAGAGACAUAUGAUAUUUUGUUAUAUAUGUGUUGUUAUUAUGCUAGUGACUUAACAUUAAAAAAUCUUUUUUUAUUAUUAAAAAUUUUAAUUUCUAAGAAUGGUGAUACUAAUUAUUAUAGUAACUCCGAAUGUUAUAAAAUUAUUCAUAAAAAUAUGGAAAGACACUUAAAAUUGAUACAAAAUUCCGAUUUUGUUAGUUAUUUAAAUAUAUUAAUAUAUAAUAACAUAAAACUUGGAUCUGCAUUAUUUAUAUUUGUAAAAAAUUAUAUGGAAGAAAAUCAGACAAACUUAUCAUCAAAUGCAGUUAUAAGUAUAUUAAAAAUAAAAAAAAAAGAAAAUUAUAAAGAUACUAUUAUAUUAAAAAAAAUUGUUCAUAUAGUAACAACUAAUUUUUAUGAUUAUUGUUAUGAUAAUAUUUUAUAUAUAGUGAAAGUAUUGAGAGUUUUUAAUUAUUUUAAUGAACCAUUUUUUUUUUUCCUUUUUAACAAGUAUACUAAUAAUAAAAAUUGUGAUAUUUUUUUUUUGGGAGUUAAGGAAAAUAACAAAGAAAGUAAAACAAGACUACAUACAAGCAAUACUAGCUUUAUUGAUAAUAGUACUAAUACAACAAAUUUGCUUUUGUGUGAUGGUAAAAAAACAAAUUAUAAUCUUGAUAUAACAAGCGCAUAUGAAAGUAAACAAUAUAAUGAUGCUGAUAGUGAUACAUAUUUUAAAAACGGACAAAAUGAAAACGUUAAAAUUAGUACUGAUCAUUUUUUUAAACGCUCAGACGAAAAGAAGAACAAAUUAAAAAAUGGGUAUAAAAAUAAAUAUGAAGAAAAAACUAAUAAUAAUGAAAUAUUUAUGUCGUCAUUUGCAAAUGAGUAUUACGAAAUAAAAAAUAAACACAAAAAAAUAAACGAACUAACACAUUUACCUUUACAUUUAGAUAUUCAAAAAACUAAGUUAAAAAUAGAUUUGUCAAACAUCGUGUUAGAUGAAACUAAAAAAAAAGAAAAAAAAAAAGAUAAAAAUAUAGAUAAAAAUAUAGAAAAAAACGAUGAACAUAAACAUAAAAAAACAGACAAUGUAACAUUAAAUAAUAUAAACAACAUAACAAACAGAGUAGAAACAAGUAAAUUGUCAUAUAAUAUGGAAUACAUAGAAAUGUUUAUUAUUUUAUUUAUUUAUAUCGGCACCUGUGGAUAUCGUAAUAUUGACGUGUUAAAUGUUUUAUCUGAAAAUAUAACAAAAUAUUUAUGCUUAAAUAUAGCUUAUAAUAACAUUAAUAACAGUAAAAAAAACAGAAAAAAGGAAUAUAACUUUGUUUCUCAUGCAAAAAGUAAAUAUAUACUAUUCGAUGAUGUUAUAAAUAAAAUUAAAAAUGAUGAUAUGUUUAUUUUGGAAGAUAAAAAGUAUAAUUUAUUAGGAGAUGAUAAGAAUUGCUUAAGUAUGGAAAAGUAUAAUAAAUCAGAACAAAAUGAUAAGUGUUCAAAAAUGUCAAUAAAAAAUAAAACGCAUGAAAAAAUAAAUACUGUACGUUGUAAUGAGAAACAGGAAUCUACUAAUGAAAGAAAGGUUAAAAUUAUUAGUACAGCCGAUGUUAUCACUGCAACUGGCUAUGCAACUGGCAUUGCAACUGGCAUUACAACUGAUAUUGCACCUACUAAUUAUAAAUGUACUAGUAUUAAUGGUAGCGAUAAUAAAACUAUUGACACAUAUAAAAAAGGAGAGAAGAAAAAAUGCUGUAUGCGCUUUGUAUAUAACAUGAAUGAUAAAAAAAGAGCUUUAAAAAAAUUAGAGAAUAUGAUAAAUUUAAAAAAUGAAAACGAAUUAAAUAUACAAAAGGAGUUAGCGAAAGAAGACAUGAAAAAAUUUAGAUACAUGAAUGUAGAGAAUUUUAGGCAAAGUAAAAUAGACACAACAAAUAAAUCUAAUACAAUAUUAAAUAAAAAAAUAAAAUAUGAACAACCAAUUAAAAGAAAUCAUAAAAAUAGUGUAAUAAAAUAUUUUUUUAACAAUAUACACCCUGCAUUUAUCCGUCUUCAAAAUCGGAAGCUUUUUAAUAAAUAUUUUAGUAAUUUGUAUAGAAGCGAAAAGUUUAGAGAAAAAAUACCUGCUGUAAAAAAGAGACAUAAAAUAAAAAUUAAGAAACCACAAUGUCGACGCAUAAAAAAAUAUAAAAAAAUUCAGAUUUUAAAAAAGGCUUGUAUGACGAGAUAUAAACAAAUUUUUGAUAAAAAAAACAAUACUAUACUUAGUUGUAUAAAUAUGGUUUAUAGAGAAAAUUUGAAAAAAGAAGUAGAACAUGUUGCAGAUGCUUCGACAGUUGUAGGUACAACUAACUACAGUAAUGAUAUUUCAUUAGGAGGGUAUAUAGAUAUGCUUGCAGAUAAUAAAGAAAUACAUGUUGACGAUUCAACUUUUGUUACUUAUAAUUUAUGUACAUAUAAAAAUAAAAAUAUCAAUAAAUAUAAUCAUUUUGUUCGACUUAGUAAUAACAUAACACAUAAUGAAUAUAAGGAAGAAAAUGACAAAAAUGAUAAAAUAAAAAAAAAUAUAUAUAUAAAAAAUGAUCUAAUAAAAUGGAUAUAUAGAUUUAAGAACAAUUCGAAUAUAUUUAAUAAAGGAGUAAAUAUAAUUGAUGGUGAUAUACAAAAAUUAGGGUUGUAUUUGUGUGGUAUUAAUAACGGUAGCAAUAGUGGUAAUAGUGGUAAUAGUAGCAGCAGUAGUAAUUGUAACAGCAGUAGUAGUAGUGGCAUUUGCAACGAUGGCGAAGAAAUUAAACUAAGUUUAAAGAACAUGUCUUUAGUUGCCAUGUCGUGCAGUAAUUUAUAUUACCAUAACAAAUUUUUAAUCAAAAUAAUGUUAGCUAAUGUAUUAAAGUUGUAUAACAUUUUUUAUAAAAGUAAUGAUAAUAAAUUAAUUAAAAAAAGCGAGUUAAACAAUGAUUAUAUGUCAUUAACAAAUAAAAAUUUUGAGUUAGUUUUAUUUAAGACCAUAUGGCAAUUUUUAAUUAUUUGUAUGCAAACAAAACAUUUUUUAACAAAGAUUUUAGACAUAGAUCAAACAAAAAACACUAUAAAAAUUUUGAAUGAUAUAUAUAAAAGUUUAUAUUUUAUACAAGGUUUUAAAAAUAUUAUUUAUACAUUGAAUUAUUUAAAAGCUAAGUUAUUAUUAUUGUUACGCAAUAAAUUGAAUAUAAUGGUUAACUUUGACGGGGACAACAAAUUAAAAUUUAAUGAUACAUUAUUAGAGGAAAUAAAUUUAUCAGAACUUAAAGAAAACGAUUUAUCUACUUUACACCUUUUUUUUAUGACAUAUUUUGAUACCAAUACUUUUAUAAACCUUUUUUUUCUUUACAAUAAAAUCUUAUUUAUAACAAUAUAUAAAAAUAAUGAGUAUACCUUUGGUAAAAAUAUUAUUGAACCAAAUAACAAUUUUGUUUAUUAUAUUUUAAAAAUGUAUGGAAAUUACUUGGAAGUUCUUUCUUUAAUUAAUUUAAGAGGGAAUGAUCGAAUUUUUGAGCAAAAAAAAAAAAAAGAAUGUUUAGAAAAUAUGGCUAUUUAUUUUCCAAGUAUGAGUUUUUAUUGUAUUCUUGCUUCUUUGUGGUCAGAUAGGGGAGAGCAGAAAAAUGUAAAACUGUUAGAUACAAAAGAAAUAAAUGAACAAUUCAUGUGUUCGGUUAGACAGGUGAAUAAUGUAAAAAAUGGGGUAUUAAAAAACAAUUGUUCAAGUUACUAUCCAAACGAUAAGUAUUAUAAUGAUAAUUAUCAUAAUGAUACAGAUGCAUAUAAUAGUGAUUACGAAAUUAGUAGAGGCAACAAACACGAACAAACAAACGAGGACACAUACGAACCCCAAAACAAACACAAAAAUGUCAAUCUAUCCAAAUGUAGUAAUAAUAAAAACAGACAAGAUAAUGAACAAUUUGAAUGUGUAAAAAACAAAAAAGGGAAUUAUAUUAUAAAUGUAGAUAAUAUUUUUUUAAUUUUUUUUAAGUAUAUUAAAUUUAUAAGAGAUAGUAAUUUUUUACAUGAUGAACAAAAUGAUGGAAUUAACAAUUUAUAUCAUGUUGUGAGGUUUUAUUAUAUUUAUAAAAAAAUAUUUAGAAAGUGUGAUAUUUCUACAUGUAUAAAUGAAAAUAAUUAUAAUGAUAUAUUUCCUUUAUUUAUAGUUCAAUUAUUAAAAAAAAAAAAAAUAAAAAAAAUAGCCAUAGAUAAAUUUUUUUUUUAUUCCAAUCAAAGGAAAUUUAUGAAUGCAAGAAAUUCUGAUUAUUUUGUUAACACUUUAAUUUAUGAUUAUUUUUAUUAUUUUUUUAACAAGCAUACUUAAAAAAUAAAAUAGAAAAAUAGUGAAGUAAAAUAUGUAAC
This 5331-nucleotide long non-coding RNA is filed under the name Piliocolobus tephrosceles (Ugandan red Colobus). RNAcentral describes it as "lncRNA (ENSPTEG00000006636.1)". Lineage: Eukaryota; Metazoa; Chordata; Mammalia; Primates; Cercopithecidae. The record is from RNAcentral.